This 107-nucleotide small nuclear RNA is filed under the name Marmota monax (woodchuck). The record is from RNAcentral. Lineage: Eukaryota; Metazoa; Chordata; Mammalia; Rodentia; Sciuridae.
GUGCUCGCUUUGGCAGCACAUAUACUAAAAUUGGAACGAUACAGAUAAGAUUAGCAUGGCCCCUGUGCAAGGAUGACACGCAAAUUCAUGAAGCAUUCCAUAUUUAA